GUUUGUAAAAGCAAUGUUUCUCCUAUUUUACUCUGAAACUUAUGUUUUAUAGCAAAAGCAUAAACCAUAGCUUUGUAAUGAAUUUUGUAAAUUAGUGCAAGAGGAAUAGAUCCAUCAAGCAUUUUGUAAUUGUGGGUUUUGAUUUGUAAAACAAGAGAUUUUGUAAUGUUACUGUCGUUUAACGAAACAGUAAAGUUUGGAUAGCAAUCGAAAGAGAUUGGUCCUCUACACAAACUAGAUUCUACUGAACUGAGUAAUGAGUCCUGGAAAUUUAUGAACUUAGUAUUUCUAAGAACUGCUAAGAUUGAGGUGUUCAAUCUUUUUUUUGUAAAAGGUUUAAUUCCAACUUGAACUAAACCCAUGUGGAUAUAUUUGUGUUUUUUUUCACGGUAUUUUUGUAAAGAUUUUUGAGACAGAAGAGAAACAAUCUCAAAAGAUUUCGCUCUUUAGUUUUGAUUGUGAAAUCAGUUUU
RNAcentral lists this unclassified non-coding RNA (472 nucleotides) under Hevea brasiliensis (rubber tree). The record is from RNAcentral. Lineage: Eukaryota; Viridiplantae; Streptophyta; Magnoliopsida; Malpighiales; Euphorbiaceae.